Molecule: long non-coding RNA, 1833 nt
Organism: Bos indicus x Bos taurus (hybrid cattle)
Lineage: Eukaryota; Metazoa; Chordata; Mammalia; Artiodactyla; Bovidae
Source: Ensembl
UCACACAUACACAUUUCCUGUGGCAACCCACUCCAGUGUUCUUGCCUAGAGAAUCCCAGGGACAGGGGAGCCUGGUGGGCUGCCGUCUAUGGGGUCGCACAGAGUCGGACACGACUGAAGCGACUUAGCAGCAGCAGCAGCAGCAGCAGCAGCAGAGAACCCAAAUCAGCCAGGGAGUACAACCUUUCUGGGGUUGAGAGAGAACUCAAAGAGAAAGAAGGAGGAUGUGGAGGGAAGAGACACACAAUUGUAAUUGUCAGUCAGACCCAGGAUUGAUAUGAGUUUUAAGAUGAAGAAUGUGAAAGAGAGAAGUUGAGAAUUUUGUUAUUUUUGUCAGUUCCACUUUUAAAGGUUCAGAUUGGCACCGACAUAGGUGAGGGGUGGGCAACAAAUAUUAUUUGAAUUGUAAGCAUGCUGUGUCAUCUCCAUAAGCCAUUUUUUUUUCCUUUCCCUUUUUCCAGCAGAAUGCCAUCAGUUUGCAUGCUUCAAUUUAAAGUACAAGGACAUCUGGUGGGCACAACCAUCCUCUGGCUCGUAUUGGCUUCUGUGGAAAUGUGUGUUUCUCGAUUCACAUGGGCAGAUCAGUCCAAUGUCACAGAAAGAGAUGUGUUCUCUCUCCUACGGAGUUCUAUGAAGCUCUAGAUGGAGGGGUGCUUUGAAGUCAAACUGUAACCUCCCUUUCGUUGCAGUUUCCUUCCUCAUCUUCAUCCUCUGAUGGUAUCUGUCUGAUCAUAGUCUCAACACAGAGGAGAAACUCUCCAGAAAAUCACCAGCCAAAGAGGCAGUAUUCUCUCUAGACAGAACAUUUGAUAAAGAAGGAUGUCAAGUGGAUAAACACAUUUUAUUGAAUUCCUUAAAGAUUUUUAAAAAUUACUUUGGAAUAGAUCACCCUAGCCUCAUGUAUUAAAUGACUUAGAGUAUGGUAAUUUUUUUUUUUUUUUUUUGCUAUAUGCAUUUACCACACUUAUCUUUAGUAUUUUUUAUUCAAAGAUGGUUUCACAAUUUUUAAAAUAUAAAAUGUAAACUAAAAUCAUUUGAUUUGCUUAAAUAUCAUAUGUCCAUUUUUUGUCCCUAAUUUUUAAUACUCUUAUGCCUGGAUUUCUAAGUUUAUGCCUGGAUUUCUAAGUUUAUACCAGGUCUUCUCAGAAGAGCUUUAGAGUAGGCCUCUGAGUUCUUUGAUGUGAACUCUGCUUUGAGCUUGGAAAUGUUUCCUUAGUAUAUUUGCUUCUCCACUGGCUCUGUAUCAGCUUGACUCCUCCCAAGUGUAUAUUGAAGGAGUUGUGCUAACUGGCAAAUUUGUUGUUCAUCGUUAUGUCAGGGCUAGGAAAGUGGGACCCUGUGAGUUCAAGCCUUCAGGUACUCUUUCUCUGCAAGAUUCCCCUCAAGGCUUAAUACUCUCAAUUCAGAGAAUCAUAGAAUAUUAGAAUGAGGAGAGAUCUUCAAGGUCAUCUAGACCCAUGCCACUCAAGAACUAAAGCACAAGUACCACCUGGGAACUUGCUAGGAAUGAAGAAUCUCGGGAGCCACUCAGACCUACUGAAUCAGAAUCUUCAUUAGAACAACAAGAUUGCAAGAGAUGAAGUGUCCAUGUUAGUGUCUGAGAAGGGCUGCUCCAGACAGCCCCUUAUCCAGUGGAGAAAUUGUAUCUGCAGCAUUUUCCAAAUGGUGGUCCCCUCGGGCUCAGACGUCUUCACCUUCAGGCUUUGGGAUACAGAUCAGUGAUUCUAGAUCAAGAUUCCUAACUCUGACUGCAUAUUAAAAUCACCUGGUGAGUUUUUAAAAAUUCCAAUGUUGAGGUCUUACUUUGGACUAAUAAAAUCUGAACCUCUGGCA